RNAcentral lists this ribosomal RNA (465 nucleotides) under Vreelandella stevensii. Its description in RNAcentral is "partial 16S ribosomal RNA". It matches the Rfam family "Bacterial small subunit ribosomal RNA", at positions 338 to 795 of the family's 1533-position model. The record is from RNAcentral. Lineage: Bacteria; Pseudomonadati; Pseudomonadota; Gammaproteobacteria; Oceanospirillales; Halomonadaceae.
CCUACGGGUGGCAGCAGUGGGGAAUAUUGGACAAUGGGCGAAAGCCUGAUCCAGCCAUGCCGCGUGUGUGAAGAAGGCCUUCGGGUUGUAAAGCACUUUCAGUGGGGAAGAAAGCCUUGGGGCUAAUACCCUCGAGGAAGGACAUCACCCACAGAAGAAGCACCGGCUAACUCCGUGCCAGCAGCCGCGGUAAUACGGAGGGUGCGAGCGUUAAUCGGAAUUACUGGGCGUAAAGCGCGCGUAGGCGGUCUGAUAAGCCGGUUGUGAAAGCCCCGGGCUCAACCUGGGAACUGCAUCCGGAACCUGCAGGCGAGAGGGCAGGAGAGGAAGGUAGAAUUCCCGGGGUAGCGGGGAAAUGCGGAGGAGUCGGGAGGAAUACCAGUUGCGAAGGCGGCCUUCUGGACUGACACUGGCGGUGAGGUGGGAAAGCGUGGGUAGCAAACAGGAUUAGAUACCCUGGUAGUC